GGCACGCUCUGAUGUAUAUAUUAAGUUGUUGCAGUUAAAAAGCUCGUAGUUGAAACUUGGGUGUGUAGGGGCGGUCUCUUUUAGAGUACUACCCUGAAACAUCUUUCUUUGGUGUAAACUCUUUAUUCACUUAAGGAGUGUAAACCAAACAUUUACUUUGAAAAAAUUAGAGUGUUCAAAGCAGGCCUUUGCUCGAAUAUAUUAGCAUGGAAUAAUAGAAUAGGACGUAUGGUUCUAUUUUGUUGGUUUCUAGGACCGUCGUAAUGAUUAAUAGGGACGGUCGGGGGCAUCAGUAUUCAGUUGUCAGAGGUGAAAUUCUUGGAUUUACUGAAGACUAACUACUGCGAAAGCAUUUGCCAAGGACGUUUUCAUUAAUCAAGAACGAAAGUUAGGGGAUCGAAGACGU
RNAcentral lists this ribosomal RNA (406 nucleotides) under uncultured Geotrichum. RNAcentral describes it as "SSU rRNA". It matches the Rfam family "Eukaryotic small subunit ribosomal RNA", at positions 607 to 1007 of the family's 1831-position model. Lineage: Eukaryota; Fungi; Ascomycota; Dipodascomycetes; Dipodascales; Dipodascaceae. The record is from RNAcentral.